CCCUCAUUUCGACUCUGCCUCCCUCAUCUCUCUCAACUCAGAGCGACACAGCCGCUCUUCUCUCUCGACUCACAGCCGACCGAAGAUGCCGAUUAAGGACGCCGACGCCGACUAACGCCAACCGAGGACGUCUUCUUAUCUCAUCUCCAGAUGGAAUCGGGAAGUGGAGCAUUGCAAACUCCCAAUGCGACACCAACUAGGUCAAGUAAACUGCCUUUAACUUUGGUCUGUAAUAACUUUAAAUUGAUGUUUGGUACUUUGAACUUGAUGUUUGGGACUUUAACUUUGGUUUGUAAUCUUUUAAUUUAUGGUUGGUACUCUUUGAACUUGAUGUUUGGGACUUUGGAACUUUGAUUUAUUGAUUUGGUUUAGAAACUUGCUGCUUGGAACUUUGAUUUA
Long non-coding RNA from Rosa rugosa (rugosa rose), 399 nucleotides. RefSeq lists it as uncharacterized. The transcript has 2 exons. NCBI's taxonomy places the organism in Eukaryota, Viridiplantae, Streptophyta, Magnoliopsida, Rosales, Rosaceae. The record is from RefSeq and is a predicted model, not a curated record.